Octopus sinensis (East Asian common octopus) is the source of this 167-nucleotide long non-coding RNA. RefSeq lists it as uncharacterized. The transcript is spliced from 3 exons. The record is from RefSeq and is a predicted model, not a curated record. Lineage: Eukaryota; Metazoa; Mollusca; Cephalopoda; Octopoda; Octopodidae.
AAAUACUGGACUAAACUAAGUGCAAGAGAAAUAGACAGAGAAAAAUCCCUGCAAUAGUUGAGAAGCUCAGGACUCAAAGCAGAGACGGAGGGAUUUUUAAUUGCAGCACAAGACCAAAGUGUCCUCACCAGAAAUUACCUAAAACAUAUAAUGAAAUGAAAUAUUAC